This 1896-nucleotide long non-coding RNA is filed under the name Chrysemys picta bellii (western painted turtle). RNAcentral's name for it is "lncRNA (ENSCPBG00000015889.1)". Lineage: Eukaryota; Metazoa; Chordata; Testudines; Emydidae. The record is from RNAcentral.
GAAGCUUCAUUUAAAAUUAAAAUAAAAUGCAGAGCCCCCCCGGGCUGGUGGCCAGGACCCGGGCAGUGUGAGUGCCACUGAAAAUCAGCUCACCUGUCGCCUUUGGCACACGUACCAUAGGUUGCCUACCCCGAUCUACAGACUUACCAGAGACAGAGCAUCAGGGGGGAAAACUGAAAAAAAAUCAUUGGUGAAAAGGGGAAUUGAUCAAAAAGCUGUGUUAGAUGAAAACAGAUCCUGAAAACAGUAAAUGAAAAGCCCACCCACAAAGGACCUAACGUGAGUGAGCAGAGAGAAUGACGGUCUGAACAUCUGUUGAAGGAAUACAGUUCAAAGGUGCCUAAUGGACAAGUGAGGGCCCACAAAGAAAAGAAACCCCACUUGUGGAUAAACUCGGUAGAAAGAGGUACAGCCCCAGGAACAUCGAAUCCAAGGAGCACUUCAAGCCAAAGAGAGGCAAAGAACAAGACAGCAAGAGCGGAGCUGGACUUAGAGUGAAGGAGAGGAAGAGUUUCUUCUCGGAAGUGACAGUCUAUGGUAAUCUCUUUUGUUCUUGGUAACAACAAUGCAUUUGGUACUAACUGCACAGCAUGUCCAAGCACACAAAAGGUUAACGAGUUGGUAACCUAUAGUUUAUUAUCGUAAGUAGUAAGUCUUUGGUAAUGUUCUAUAUUAUCUAUGCUCCUGGUACAAGUUUGGGGUUUUCCCUUAGAAAGUUAUAAAAAUUUCAAAUUAUCCCUUUUGUUGUGGUUUGCCUCUCCUCACAGUUAACACAGCCAAGCCGGGUCACCACACAACCACUUAUCAGUUCUACAAAAUGCACCUGGGGGGAAAACAAAACGGGCGGAGUGUUUUGUGGGACAGAGGCAACGAUGUAAGCUGGAGUCCCUUUGACCUCAGAAGCAACAUUCUGAGGUCUGAACACCAUCCUGACAGACUCCUGUAAGGUACUGGGUGGAGUUGCGGCUCCUAACAUAUUGCUCAAAUUCCUCCCUCAGAGAUGGGCCAGAGACUUCAGCUUGCUGGAGGGCUUCACUACACAUGCUGACAAAAAGACCUCCUCCCAGCUAGGGUACAAAGCUGCAGCAAAACAUGAGAUUUGGAAGAGGUGGCUAAAUAACUCCAGCAGCGGGGUGACACAGCUCUGGAAACUUACUUACCCAUCCUGCCCUCCUCAGAACAUUACAUUAACUUUCACGGAUAAAAGUGAAAAUGUGAGUGCCCAUUGCUGCAAACAAACACUGAUUUCCAAACCCUUUAAUUAGAUGUACCGGACUAGUGCCUGUACAAGUUAGUUUUCCGAUAGCUCCCUAUCUUUAUACUAGCCUCCUUACUCUCUCCCGGGAAUGCCCUGAAAGCUAUCUCAACAAUGAGAAGACUAGUAAUUAAGCAGAUUUCAAAUCAGAUUGACAAAAAAGCACCCUUACCACCUAGGACUUCACAUGCCUCGAUAUAAACCAAGCAAAUACAUCAUAAGGUAGUAAAUCAGAAAGCCACAGCAACUCAAAACACCCAACAGCCAUUCAUAAACACCUGAAGUACAUAACUCCUCGCUUAACGUUGUAGUUAUGUUCCUGAAAAAUGUGACUGAGUGAAACGAUGUUAAGCAAAUCCAAUUUCCCCAUAAGAAUUAAUGUAAAUAGGGGGGGUUAGGUUCCAGGGAAAUUUUUUUUGCCAGACAAAAGGCAUUAUAUACAUUUUAAACAAGCAAUUUAAUACUACGCUGGGGGGGGGGUCGUGUGCACGUGCUGUGUGUUUACACACGUAUGUACAGUGCUAUAGUUGGGAGGUGCCCCUGCCUUACCCCACACAGGCACAGCCCACUGGCACUGGAGAUGAGGCAGGCAAGGAAGCUGAAGGUGCUGUAGACUAGGAGAAGCACAUUGUGCAGCAGCA